Non-coding RNA from Castor canadensis (American beaver), 802 nucleotides. Lineage: Eukaryota; Metazoa; Chordata; Mammalia; Rodentia; Castoridae. The record is from RefSeq and is a predicted model, not a curated record.
UUCAGCCUCCCAAGUAGGUAGAAUUAUAGGCUUGAGCCACUGGUGUCUGGUGAGAUGAUGAUGGCUUUUGAAUAAAGACCUGAAGAGAGUCAAGAACCUAUUGUGAAGAUGUAUGGAAUAGGGGUGUUCCAUAUAUCCUGCAGGGAGAACCGGUGGAAAGCCUCCCUACUUUUGGAAUAGCAAGGUCUUUUUUGCUGGGCGAAUUGAGUGAGGGGGAAAUUUGUAGUAGGAAAAGUAAGAGGUAUACAGAGUGCCAUACUGAUGAUCACUGCUUUCCUUAUAGGUGGAAUAGACCUUGGCAUUUAUUUGAAUGAGAAGUCAUUGGAGGGUUAGAACAGAGCAGUGGUAGUGUCUGCUGUAAUCCCAGCUUUUAAUGAAUGUUGGCUGACAAUGGAGUGAAGGAGAACAGAGGUGAAGGAACCCAGGCUGAAGCAGGAAACCAGCUGGAGCUGUUGCAGCGAUCCAUCCAGUGAGAGGAUCAGGUUGUCAGUUUCUACGAAGAAGCCAGCUGAGAUUCUAACUGGGAUUGCAUUGAAUCUGUAGAUCAGUCUGAGGAGCGACAGCGUUUUAAGUCUUCCAGUCCACCAGCAUUGGAAGCUUUUUACGUAAAUGGUCAGAUGGUAAAUGCUUCUGGCUUUGUGGGCAUAAUGUCUCUGUUGUAGCCACUCAGCUCUGCCAUUGCAGCAUGAAAGCCACCAUAGACAACAUAUAAGUGAAAAGAAGGAACUCUCAGCCACCAAGAAAGAUCGCGUGAAUCAUUGUCUGACAAUAUGUGAAAACAUAGUGGCACAGUCUCUCAGGU